ACUCCUACGGGAGGCAGCAGUGGGGAAUUUUGGACACUGGGCGAAAGCCUGAUCCAGCAAUGCCGCGUGAGUGAAGAAGGCCUUCGGGUUGUAAAGCUCUUUUGUCAGGGAAGAAACGGUGAGAGCUAAUAUCUCUUGCUAAUGACGGUACCUGAAGAAUAAGCACCGGCUAACUACGUGCCAGCAGCCGCGGUAAUACGUAGGGUGCAAGCGUUAAUCGGAAUUACUGGGCGUAAAGCGUGCGCAGGCGGUUUUGUAAGUCUGAUGUGAAAUCCCCGGGCUCAACCUGGGAAUUGCAUUGGAGACUGCAAGGCUAGAAUCUGGCAGAGGGGGGUAGGAUUCCCCGUGUAGCAGUGAAAUGCGUAGAUAUGUGGAGGAACACCGAUGGCGAAGGCAGCCCCCUGGGUCAAGAUUGACGCUCAUGCACGAAAGCGUGGGGAGCAAACAGGAUUAGAUACCCGUGUAGUCCCA
RNAcentral lists this ribosomal RNA (471 nucleotides) under uncultured organism. RNAcentral describes it as "partial 16S ribosomal RNA". It matches the Rfam family "Bacterial small subunit ribosomal RNA", at positions 335 to 797 of the family's 1533-position model. The record is from RNAcentral.